Molecule: long non-coding RNA, 1549 nt
Organism: Oreochromis aureus
Lineage: Eukaryota; Metazoa; Chordata; Actinopteri; Cichliformes; Cichlidae
Exons: 3
Source: RefSeq, a predicted model, not a curated record
AUUUAUCUCGUCAUGCUGCCAGUGAAACAACGCAUCGCGAAAUAGUAAUAGAUUUUUUUGUAAGUAGUCAGUCUGACCUGGGUCCUGGAGAAAAUGUCGAGCCAGAUGAAAGCCUUAUCAUGAGUAGUAGUCAGAAGAAAGCAAAAAAGGUUGGAAAACACUGGGUUAGAGUACCAAUCAGGUGACAUCAGAUAAUCUUCACUGGUCUGAGGAAUCUUCUAGGAAUGGUGACGCUAUUUUCUGGAGAAUUUAUUGGUAAUGACCACUGAAGGGUGUGGACAUACUUCAGACCAGGAGCAUAUGGUUUUAAACCCACACACAAGUCAGACUCUCAAGUGAAAAAGAACUUGGGACAGCCCAGCACUCACACCAAGAAGAUCCUGGGUGAUACUUCUGCUUCAUCCCAUAGAUCGAAGACGUUACAUUAUGUUAUUCUUGAUUCUAAAUUGGUAUUAGGUGUGAGUGUGAAUGGUUUUCUAUGUAUUAGCCCUGCAACAGAUUGCUGAUCUGUCCAGGGUGUACCCCUGAACGCUGGGACAGGCUCCAGCCCCCCUUGUGAUCCUGAACUGAACAAACAGUUAAGAAGAUGAAUGGAAAAGCAACAAGGAUACACGCACAGGCGGCUAAACUAAUCCUGCAGUUUUAUUCACUGUUGCCUCCCACUUCACAAACCUGUGAGUCGCUGAUCAGGACUCACGAAAACAACUUUCCAGGCCGUCACACUUUAUCCACCAGUCAAAACAAAAAGAAACAAUAUCAGCCCAACUUGUAAGAGACAAAAGAGUUUAGUGGUUGCCAAGAACACAAUGCACCCAUGCUUUUAUGAAAUUAGGCCAGGAACAAACUGAUCUGACUGACAGAACUGCUGGGAAGCCUGGAAAAAUAUAAACCUCCAUUAGGCCAUAUUUAAAAAACAAAACAAACAAAAAAGCCACUGCAGACUUUUCCACCCAGAGGAUAUCUACCAGGUAUAUUUAGCUAUUAACCCACAUGACACAAAUCAAUUAAAGUAGCAUAUCUUAAAAAUAUAAAGCCUACUUUAUAAACGUAUAGCUUCUGGCAAAACUACAUUAUUGUAUUUAGCAUUCCUUUAGGCUGCAAUAAAGCUGUGCAGAAUGUUAGACUAAUGUUUGGCCAGGGUAUGUCGUUCAUUUCACACAUUAGAAAAAUCUCUGGAGCUCCUUUUAUCAUAUGUGCCAAAAUUAGGAACAUAGUAUCUAAAAAAAAAAAAAAUUAAGUGGGGUUGGAGGUUGGGACGGGCUUAGGGCGCCAGGAGAACCCCUAGAGACGUUAUCCCUGGAGGGCUCAACCCGGGGGGUUGUGGUCAUAACCUGGUUAGUGGCUCUGGUCGCUCUUAGAGGGUGUUCUCCUCGUGGCUGCGUGCAGCGGGGCUGGGGGAUGGUCUGUACUGGCGGACGUAGGUUACUGGCCUGGUAGCCUGGCUGCCCCUGAGUGGAUCCGGGGCAGGCGUGGGGGCUUGGGGUUCAGGGGUGCUUCGUUUCCGUGAUGGGGCUCUGGCUGGGCCUUGGAGGCUUCGGUCCUCGUCGGU